UACGUAGGGUGCGAGCGUUAAUCGGAAUUACUGGGCGUAAAGCGUGCGCAGGCGGUUAUGCAAGACAGAUGUGAAAUCCCCGGGCUCAACCUGGGAACUGCAUUUGUGACUGUAUAGCUAGAGUACGGUAGAGGGGGAUGGAAUUCCGCGUGUAGCAGUGAAAUGCGUAGAUAUGCGGAGGAACACCGAUGGCGAAGGCAAUCCCCUGGACCUGUACUGACGCUCAUGCACGAAAGCGUGGGGAGCAAACAGG
This 253-nucleotide ribosomal RNA is filed under the name uncultured bacterium. Its description in RNAcentral is "partial 16S ribosomal RNA". It matches the Rfam family "Bacterial small subunit ribosomal RNA", at positions 524 to 776 of the family's 1533-position model. The record is from RNAcentral.